GUUUGAGUAGCUCAGUAGGAUAGAGCAACGGCCUUCUAAGCCGUCGGUCGGGGGUUCGAAUCCCUCCUCAAACA
This 74-nucleotide transfer RNA is filed under the name Alteracholeplasma palmae J233. Its description in RNAcentral is "Acholeplasma palmae J233 tRNA". It matches the Rfam family "tRNA". From Rfam's summary of the family: Transfer RNA (tRNA) molecules are approximately 80 nucleotides in length. Lineage: Bacteria; Bacillati; Mycoplasmatota; Mollicutes; Acholeplasmatales; Acholeplasmataceae. The record is from Rfam by way of RNAcentral.